AGAGUUUGAUCCUGGCUCAGAUUGAACGCUGGCGGCGUGCCUAACACAUGCAAGUCGAGCGGUAACAGGUGUAGCAAUACAUGCUGACGAGCGGCGAACGGGUGAGUAAUGCUUUGGAAUCUUCCCAGUAGUGGGGAAUAACCAGUCGAAAGAUUGGCUAAUACCGCAUACGUCCGAAAGGGGAAAGCGGGGGCUCGUAAGACCUCGCGCUAUUGGAUGAGCCAAAGUCGGAUUAGCUAGUUGGUGGGGUAAUGGCCUACCAAGGCGACAAUCCGUAGCUGGUCUGAGAGGACGACCAGCCACACCGGAACUGAGACACGGUCCGGACUCCUACGGGAGGCAGCAGUGGGGAAUAUUGGACAAUGGGGGAAACCCUGAUCCAGCGACGCCGCGUGUGUGAAGAAGGCCUGCGGGUUGUAAAGCACUUUUAGUGGGGACAAAAAGCUACGGACUAAUACUCUGUGGUCUUGAUUUAACCCAAAGAAAAAGCACCGGCUAACUCUGUGCCAGCAGCCGCGGUAAUACAGAGGGUGCGAGCGUUAAUCGGAAUUACUGGGCGUAAAGCGCGCGUAGACGGUUUUGUAAGUCAGAUGUGAAAUCCCUGGGCUCAACCUGGGAACUGCAUUUGAAACUGCAUGGCUAGAGUAUGGAAGAGGGAAGUGGAAUUUCCGGUGUAGCGGUGAAAUGCGUAGAUAUCGGAAGGAACACCAGUGGCGAAAGCGACUUCCUGGUCCAAUACUGACGUUCAUGUGCGAAAGCGUGGGGAGCAAACAGGAUUAGAUACCCUAGUAGUCC
RNAcentral lists this ribosomal RNA (795 nucleotides) under uncultured bacterium. RNAcentral describes it as "bacterial SSU rRNA". It matches the Rfam family "Bacterial small subunit ribosomal RNA", at positions 8 to 796 of the family's 1533-position model. The record is from RNAcentral.